Anneissia japonica is the source of this 600-nucleotide long non-coding RNA. RefSeq lists it as uncharacterized. Lineage: Eukaryota; Metazoa; Echinodermata; Crinoidea; Comatulida; Comatulidae. The transcript is spliced from 4 exons. The record is from RefSeq and is a predicted model, not a curated record.
CAACCACAAUUAUCGUUAUCUGAUCAGGAUUUAAGUUGUGACUAAAUUAACGGCAGGACGAUUAGUUCCUCUGCCGCCGAGUGACAAGGAGACGUGUUAGAAGUGAAAAUUUCAAUACUGUAUAAUUAUUUUCAUAACGUUUUUAUUUACCUCAUUCUGAAAUUGUUAGUCUAACAAUUACGAAAACCAGCACUGUACCAACACUUAAGAAAUUCCGACAGGAUUUUUUAGCAUCAUGGAGGUCAACAAUGGGAUGUCAGUGUUUGUCCAGGGAGCUGCCGAAGAACCGCAAACUUUCACAAUUCGCCAACCCGUUAAAAAGAAAACUGUCAAAACCACUGCUAUUCUACAAAUUGUUUUUGGUUCCCUGUGCCUAUUUUGGGGGAUUUGGACAGGAAUCAUUUAUUUAGAUUUUUCUUUAACCUAUUUUAGUGCAUGGCUGUAUAUUCCUUCAGGAGCAGUUGGUCUACGGGCGGCCUCCAAAAAUAACAUAUGCGCAGUGGUGGCUUAUCAGACGAUGUCCUUAUUCGCUUGUAUCGCCUCUUCUUCUCAGUCAUUAACUUUUCUCAUCCGAUGCUUCUUACCUAGAAGGAUACCGGU